This 412-nucleotide long non-coding RNA is filed under the name Eucalyptus grandis. RNAcentral's name for it is "long non-coding RNA (EGRA_LNC007072)". The record is from RNAcentral. Lineage: Eukaryota; Viridiplantae; Streptophyta; Magnoliopsida; Myrtales; Myrtaceae.
UAAUUAGCCAACUAAUCCAGGAUUAGUGAGAUUACUCAUCAAAUCGCGCGCAAAUCGGAUCAAUUCGACGAGGGCGACGCGAGGAACGAUUGAUCCCAAAGCACGGCUCGGGUUCGGGACCGGGAAACGGCCCAAAAGCGAGCCUAAAGCCGCUGGAAACCCAUUUCGUGGGUUGCUGGUUGGCUGCGAAACAGGGGAAAACAGAGAUGGUUAGGGGCGGAGAAGGCUUCGGGAGAGCGGGUAGUGCUCCGGGGAGGACCGGUGGAGGUCCGGCGGCUUCAAACGGCGACCGGAGGUGGCCGGACAUGGUGGAACGAAGGCUGAGCAGAGGCGAUUUCGCUCGGGGAAACGCCUGGCGCGAGGGACGGGGCUGGCGGCGCACGGCAGUGAGCGGCGCGCACACGGGCGCGGG